This is an RNA transcript of Vespula pensylvanica (western yellowjacket), 2198 nucleotides long. It is a transcript of the gene named autophagy protein 12-like, with no coding region annotated. The record is from RefSeq and is a predicted model, not a curated record. NCBI's taxonomy places the organism in Eukaryota, Metazoa, Arthropoda, Insecta, Hymenoptera, Vespidae. The transcript is spliced from 4 exons.
AAUGUAUAAUACAUAAAUGGUGAAUCUGAAUGUUGUCAUGGGUUAUUCGAAUGUUUAAUAAUACAUAUGAUUUCUACAAGUUUCUCACGAGCUACGAAUUUUUAUGUUUUCGACAUAGUUGAUACGGUUCUAUUUCAUGUUUUAUUUAUGAUAAUUUAAUUUAUCUUACGAUUGGCAAAGUUAUAAAAUUAUAAAUAAUGGCUGAAAAGGAAGGUGAUAGUUCCACGAGUGAAGUUGUGAAAACUGAAGAUUUAACUGAUAACACAGCUAAUGAAGAAGCACCGACAAGUUUGGAAAAUAUAGCACAAGAUACUAAUACUACUCGAAAUGGUGGUCCUCCAGUUGCUUCAAAGGACAAAGAAAAAAUUGAUAUCUUAUUAAAAGCAACUGGCAACGCACCUAUCAUGAAACAGAAAAAAUGGUCUGUUUGUCAGGAUAAUCAAAUAGGAAGAAUUUCAGAUUUUAUGAAGAAGUAUCUUAAAUUAGAAUCCUCUGAGAGAUUAUUUCUUUACGUAAAUCAAACUUUUGCACCAGCACCAGAUCAAACAGUAAAAAACUUAUAUGAUUGUUAUGGUGCGGAUGGAAAAUUGAUCAUUCAUUAUUGCAAAAGUCCAGCAUGGGGCUAACUGUGACCUUUCUUUGAUGCUUAAGCAUCGUAUGGUGUCCUUUUAUUAACGAGACGCACGGCGUUGGCUAGAUGAAGCGGAGUUCGCCGUUUCAGUUGGGUUUCCCGAGCUACGUUUUGAAUUAAGCAAUGAUUUCGUUUCCAUAUUUUUCGCGCAAGGACAAUCACCCAAAGGUUCUUCAGUUCGAUUUUGUUCGUUUAAAGUUUUUACCUGCAAUAUGGAAUACUUGUUAAGUCGUACAUCGACGAAACAAUCGCUAUGCUUAGAUAAAAUCAAAUUCGACGUUUUGAUAGAAUCAAUAGCUUUUUGUACCAACCGACGUUGUAUCCUUAUCUUUGACGCAGGAGCAAAUUGGUGAAGGUAUACCAGCUGGAUCGCGUGUACAUGGCUGUAGCUGAUCAUCGCCUGUGAAAUAUUUAAUUUGAUAGAAUUAUUUAUUCGCAAGAGUACGUUGAAUUUAAAUCGAGUUUAAAUUGUAUUUGUUGAUUUUUUCUAAUACCAUGGUAUGUAGUCCUAACACUUUCAGCAGUCUCAUCCACCUGGUUCAUACCAGCGACAUGCUCUCCUAAAUCAUCCAGCUUUAAAUCGUCGCAUUUCACUUCAGGUUCCUCUGGCUUAACAGCUGUACGCGCUGUCACUGAUUUUGAUUUGAUGGAUGGUGUCUUCACACGCGCCAUUAUAAAUGGGGACUUCCAAAUGAUGAUAGCGCCAUCGGCGCUCACCGAUACCACAUGUUCGCCAUUAGAGCUAAAUUUACACGAUGUUAUUAUCGCGGCAUGACCUAUGCCAAUAUGUGUGACAUUGGCCGUGUGAUAUUCCCAGAGCUUAACAAUGCAAUCGUUUGAGCCGGUGACGAAGUAUUGUCCAUCAGGGCUAAUAUCUAUGCAAUUCAAUGAUCCUGAGAUAGAACCCUCGAUUUCACGAACCAACGAAGCAUCCCACGUUUCCCAAUAGGCAAUCUUACGAUCUGUACCGCAAGUCAAGAUUUGUAUGCUAUUAGGACUGAAACACGCGGCCAUAUACAUCGUGUUACCCAUUAAAACUUGCUUCCUCGCGCAACGUCUGUUGAUUAACGAUUGUCCAUCAAUUUGUCACAUUCCAAAAAAUGUAAUAUUAUAAAUAGUUAAUCAACACUUACAUUACGUCCCAUAUUAUGCACGUACCGUCCGUGCUCGAACUAACCAAAUCCUCGUUAUUAGAGGAUAUACACAAUGAUGUUAUGGGUCCUCUAUGUUCUUUAAGAAUUGAGACGAGUCGUUGUACGUCGGGUUUUAUGUCCCAUAUACGUACCUACGAAUGAUGACAUAUUGAUCAUAUCGAAAAUUUUAAAGAAGAAGGAUGAGGAUGAAACAAGAGAAUGAUGAAUGUAUAAAAUAUAAAUUACCUGUCCAUCGCAGCCUCCGCUGAUUAAUCUUUUCCCGUCUGCCGUUAUCACGACUGCCGAUGCAGCUUUUAUGUGAGCAUUAUGGAUAGUGAAGAUAAGUUUACCCUUUUGUGGCGUGAAUGCUCUUACGAUACCGUCAUUCCAUGCUGCAAUGUUCAAUAAAUAGAAGAAAAUUAUUGUUAAUUAAA